CUGGUGUGAAUGUCAGCGAAUAACCUGAAGGCAGGACAUGCAGGGAGCACCGUUUCAUUGCUCUUUGCUAGGUACAAGUGCCUUGAACAUAGUGCGAGCACGUCUAAUGGAGCACUGUGAUUGUUGGGGACAGUUUUCCAAUUCCCCGAAAGGGUUCUAAGACGGAGAAAGUCGGAAAGGACCUAAAUAUUGGUACUGUCCCACUAAAAUCAGGCCGGUUGGGAGGUCUGCAAUUGGGCAACAAACUGUCCAAGGAUAUCCUUAGAAGAUCAAUUUACAGGCCGGUUCACAUAAGGAACAAUAAGCCGACAGGCCUGUUAACACCUACUGAAUAUUUCUGAUUGGAAACGGUCUGCAGUAUCUUGCAGCAUCCUUAUCUUUUGGGAUAGCAGAUAAAAAAAAAUAAAAAAUAGGUGGCUUAGCCUGUUUUAUGUAUCUUGUUUACGUGUGCCAUGAUUUACCAGUUGAAGUUUAAUUACAAUCAGUGUGUCAACAAAACUGGGAUGACACAUCCUGCAAAAAGUUAUACCCCUGCCCAAAUGUCUUGCCCUGUUUCAGCCAACCUGAAUGGAAUGUUAACGAAAAUGACAUGGGAAUUGGUUUUCUUGUUCACAAGCCAUGGUCUCCUAAAAAAAAAAAAAUGCAUUAUGCAUAAUAUCAGAUUGAGUGUUUCAGCACAAAGUGGGUAAGAUUGUAGCAAAAUAGGGCAUUGCAUCUGCAAAGUUCUCUACAAUCUCAUGCUGUGAC
Molecule: non-coding RNA, 747 nt
Organism: Pelobates cultripes (western spadefoot toad)
Lineage: Eukaryota; Metazoa; Chordata; Amphibia; Anura; Pelobatidae
Source: the annotation of a GenBank genome assembly